GACGAACGCUGGCGGCGUGCUUAACACAUGCAAGCCGAACGGAAAGGCCCUGCUUUUGUGGGGUGCUCGAGUGGCGAACGGGUGAGUAACACGUGGGUAACCUGCCCUUGACUUUGGGAUAACUUCAGGAAACUGGGGCUAAUACCGGAUAGGAGCUCCUGCUGCAUGGUGGGGGUUGGAAAGUUUCGGCGGUUGGGGAUGGACUCGCGGCUUAUCAGCUUGUUGGUGGGGUAGUGGCUUACCAAGGCUUUGACGGGUAGCCGGCCUGAGAGGGUGACCGGCCACAUUGGGACUGAGAUACGGCCCAGACUCCUACGGGAGGCAGCAGUGGGGAAUAUUGCACAAUGGGCGGAAGCCUGAUGCAGCAACGCCGCGUGCGGGAUGACGGCCUUCGGGUUGUAAACCGCUUUCGCCUGUGACGAAGCGUGAGUGACGGUAAUGGGUAAAGAAGCACCGGCUAACUACGUG
Molecule: ribosomal RNA, 468 nt
Filed under: uncultured bacterium
Lineage: Bacteria
Description: partial 16S ribosomal RNA
Rfam family: Bacterial small subunit ribosomal RNA
Source: RNAcentral